Molecule: ribosomal RNA, 1194 nt
Filed under: Triticum aestivum (bread wheat)
Lineage: Eukaryota; Viridiplantae; Streptophyta; Magnoliopsida; Poales; Poaceae
Description: partial small subunit ribosomal RNA
Source: RNAcentral
AUGGGAUCAUACUCAAUUUUGCGUCCCCCCGGCCUCAACUUCCCGUCGCCCGUCUGCCGGGCGAUGAGGCAAUCCAAGUCCAUGGUUCUCGCUACCGCCGCCCCGCCUGGUUUCUCUUCCGCCGGCCCGCCUGGGUUCUCUUCCGCGCCCCUCCACGGCAGCCGCGGCCAGGACUUGGUCAGUGGCCUCGGAGGCGACAAGGAUAACAUCGACCAAGUGUCCCAUGGCCAUGUUGCAAUAGGACCUGAUUUGGCUUCUGUGGACUUGUCUGCUGGGGAUCUCCCAACGCCCUCUGACCAGCUGUUGUUGCCAGCCCAGCCUCGCUGCAACAUAAAGAAUGCGGUGGCCGUUGUCUCCAAGGUUGCCACUUCUACAAGUCAUAACAGCCAAGCUACCGAGCAGACCGCGAGCAAAGGCAAAGGACAAUCUGACGCUGCUGUUGUCACUUCGAAAGCCACUCAAGAAGUGAUUACUGUGGAGGAUGCUGAAGAGCGUGUUCAAAUGCACGUUGAUCCACCUAGUGUAAGGCGAAAUCCAGUGGAGAUGGACACCAAUCAUGAGAUGGUACCAAAAUUUCCGGAAAUUCACUUGGAUGCAAAUGUCCGAGCACAGACCGAUAUUGUACAACCCAGUCCGAGUGCAUUGGCGGUUACGGCGCCCCGACGUGCAACGCCUCCUACUGUUUCGUAUGUAGUGUAUCCGUUGGCCAGUACUCGAGAGGAUGAGGUUAGCGUCGGCAAAGAGGCCAUGAUUUCAGCCGAGUUGGUGAGCUCCAAGCAGAAGGAUGCAACCAAUUCAAGUGAGGUUCUGAAAGCUCAUAACCCAGUAAGUACCACGAAAUACUGUGAACUGGAAUCCAAGAAUCUGGCAUUGCAGGAAGAAGUCGAAAGUCUCCGUGCAGAACUGGAGAAAGAGAAAAGGAAGAACGAGAAGCUCGAGCAGGAGAAAGCUACCACGGGAGGUAAACUUGCCAUCACAGGCACCACCAUCCCAUGCCACAAUAACCAAGAGCGCCAAAACAAAUACUCCCAGAAGAGCAAAGGCGGACACGCAAAUACCGCCUUUCAAGAUCACCUCCCUCCCUCAAAAAAAUCAAAUCAUAGUACAUAUAACUUGAGGGACAAAACAAGUAAAGGGAUGCUUGAUGAUGAAAAUUUUGAAUUGUACAUGGAGUAUGUCCUACCUUUUUCUUAG